CCUACGGGUGGCAGCAGUGGGGAAUAUUGGACAAUGGGGGGAACUCUGACCCAGCAACGCCGCGUGAAUGAUGAAGUUCUUCGGUUUGUAAAGUUCUUUUCUAAGGGAAGAAAGAAAUGACGGUACCUUACGAAGAAGCCUCGGCUAACUACGUGCCAGCAGCCGCGGUAAUACGUAGGGGGCGAGCGUUAUCCGGAGUGACUGGGCGUAAAGGGAGCGUAGGUGGUUCGGCAAGUUAGUAGUGUAACGCGAAGGCGCAACCUUUGAACUGCUAUUGAAACUGUAGGACUUGAGUGCAGGAGGGGUAAGUGGAAUUCCUGGUGUAGCGGUGGAAUGCGUAGAUAUUAGGAGGAACACCAGUGGCGAAGGCGGGUUACUAGACUGUAACUGACACUGAGGCUCGAAAGCGUGGGGAGCAAACAGGAUUAGAUACCCUGGUAGUC
Molecule: ribosomal RNA, 443 nt
Filed under: uncultured bacterium
Lineage: Bacteria
Description: partial 16S ribosomal RNA
Rfam family: Bacterial small subunit ribosomal RNA
Source: RNAcentral